AGUACUCCUUCUAAGCUAAAUAUCACCACGAGACCGAUAGCGAACAAGUACCGUGAGGGAAAGUUGAAAAGCACUCUGAAUAGAGAGUCAAAAAGUACGUGAAACUGCCUAGGGCUCAAGCCCGUUGAACUCGAUUAUCCGCGGCGGAGAUAUUCACCUGCGGUUGGCCCUCACCAGGUCCGCCGCAGGGCACUUACCUCCUGCCUCACGAGGACGUUGCGAUCCAUUACGAAACGGUUAGCCAGCAAUGGCUACAGGCCCGGCACCUGCCCCUUGGCAUCUGGUUGCUUGUCCCACAGUAGCGGCGCUCAGUUCGGAAGGCCUGCGCCGCAACCUGGGGCUUACCGAUGCGUGGUGUGCAGCCGGGCGCGUGAUGGAUUCCCGCGUACACCGUCUCGGGAGAGGCUCGCCUCUCCCACCUCCACCAAGGUGACGGACUGUCGAUCGGCAACGAUAAAAUCGAGGUACCUUCGGGACCCGUCUUGAAACAC
RNAcentral lists this ribosomal RNA (491 nucleotides) under Culex quinquefasciatus (southern house mosquito). RNAcentral describes it as "eukaryotic LSU rRNA". It matches the Rfam family "Eukaryotic large subunit ribosomal RNA", at positions 301 to 662 of the family's 3401-position model. The record is from RNAcentral. Lineage: Eukaryota; Metazoa; Arthropoda; Insecta; Diptera; Culicidae.